Molecule: transfer RNA, 76 nt
Filed under: Planctomycetota bacterium
Lineage: Bacteria; Pseudomonadati; Planctomycetota
Description: Planctomycetes bacterium (freshwater metagenome) tRNA-Lys
Rfam family: tRNA
About the family: Transfer RNA (tRNA) molecules are approximately 80 nucleotides in length. Their secondary structure includes four short double-helical elements and three loops (D, anti-codon, and T loops).
Source: RNAcentral
GGGGGCGUAGCUCAGCCGGUAGAGCAGCGGCCUUUUAAGCCGUAGGUCGCAGGUUCGAACCCUGCCGCCCUCACCA